Molecule: microRNA precursor, 93 nt
Organism: Gorilla gorilla gorilla (western lowland gorilla)
Lineage: Eukaryota; Metazoa; Chordata; Mammalia; Primates; Hominidae
Source: Ensembl
UACUUAUGGCACCCCACUCCUGGUACCAUAGUCAUAAGUUAGGAGAUGUUAGAGCUGUGAGUACCAUGACUUAAGUGUGGUGGCUUAAACAUG